Molecule: small nuclear RNA, 23 nt
Filed under: Arabidopsis thaliana (thale cress)
Lineage: Eukaryota; Viridiplantae; Streptophyta; Magnoliopsida; Brassicales; Brassicaceae
Description: snRNA_13077
Source: RNAcentral
UGGUUGUUUAAGGUUGCUUUUAG